UUACCAUGUCCCUGUAAAAUCAAGAAGACAAGUUACAACUGAUCUUCAAGUUAAAUAAGACUUAGUUGGUUAGGGUUACUCCUCCAGUGAAUAUGAUAAAGCUAUGAAGUAUGCAUAUGUUUCGAUACUUGUAGUGGAAGAUGAGGAAGUGACCUUUGAUUCAUUGAUUGCCUUCAUAGUAGACACUAAAAAUGAAAAAGAGAAUGAGGUAACUAUUUCUAACAUUAAAAAAAGC
Molecule: long non-coding RNA, 235 nt
Filed under: Capsicum annuum
Lineage: Eukaryota; Viridiplantae; Streptophyta; Magnoliopsida; Solanales; Solanaceae
Description: long non-coding RNA (CANN_LNC022577)
Source: RNAcentral